RNAcentral lists this transfer RNA (83 nucleotides) under Canis lupus familiaris (dog). It matches the Rfam family "tRNA". From Rfam's summary of the family: Transfer RNA (tRNA) molecules are approximately 80 nucleotides in length. Their secondary structure includes four short double-helical elements and three loops (D, anti-codon, and T loops). Further hydrogen bonds mediate the characteristic L-shaped molecular structure. tRNAs have two regions of fundamental functional importance: the anti-codon, which is responsible for specific mRNA codon recognition, and the 3' end, to which the tRNAs corresponding amino acid is attached (by aminoacyl-tRNA synthetases). tRNAs cope with the degeneracy of the genetic code in two manners: having more than one tRNA (with a specific anti-codon) for a particular amino acid; and 'wobble' base-pairing, i.e. permitting non-standard base-pairing at the 3rd anti-codon position. RNAcentral also lists the same sequence under 1 other name. Lineage: Eukaryota; Metazoa; Chordata; Mammalia; Carnivora; Canidae. The record is from Rfam by way of RNAcentral.
GCCUGAGUAGCUCAAUGGUUGACCGUCUGACUUUGGCUCAGGUCGUGAUCCCAGGGUCCUGGGAUCAAGUCCCACAUCAGGCU